Cyclopterus lumpus (lumpfish) is the source of this 374-nucleotide long non-coding RNA. RefSeq lists it as uncharacterized. Lineage: Eukaryota; Metazoa; Chordata; Actinopteri; Perciformes; Cyclopteridae. The record is from RefSeq and is a predicted model, not a curated record. The transcript has 3 exons.
GGCGGAACGACGCAAGCGGGAAGAAAGCGCCAUUGUGUGAAGUUAUUUUAAGAUGUGACAGAGUGAACAGCAGUCCUCCGUGGCCCUCCUGUCAUCCUUGGAGAUGAGAACGCACACUUCUUCAAGACGGGCUUUGACUCCGGUGACCUUCUGGACACGUCCCACACCUUCAUGGGGAUCCUGACAGUGAUUGCUGAAGACACUGUGGCCUCUCCUCAUGGGUGGCCAUGACAAUCUUCUGCAUGCCAUGUGCCUCCUCUUUGGACUUAUUUACAAUAUGGAUUGUGGAGGUCCAUUCAUACAUUCUGUCAUAUUCAUUUAAUGUGUUUAUGUAACUCUGAGAUGCUGUUCAUCUGUACACAUGACAUCUAUUG